AUGGAAAACAAACACAAAUAAUUGGAAAAGGUAUAUGAUGUACAUGAAGUUCAUAGGCUUGAUAACCACAGUGAAUCCUCAGGUAAACUAUAAACUUGUAUGCAUGUUGCAUAGCCUCUUGGUCAGUAUAUAACCCAAAAAUGUGGCAAGUUAUAUAAAUCACAUUCCUAAAUCAUAAGCGUCCAAUCCUUCCUGCUUUAACCAUAACAGGAACCCUUAAUUUGGUAUCAUGUGAACAUUUGAAGUCAACUACCCACUCCUUUCAGCGAAAUUUUUUCACUAGCGUUGAUGAGCAAAAG
RNAcentral lists this unclassified non-coding RNA (299 nucleotides) under Hevea brasiliensis (rubber tree). The record is from RNAcentral. Lineage: Eukaryota; Viridiplantae; Streptophyta; Magnoliopsida; Malpighiales; Euphorbiaceae.